ACGAACGCUGGCGGCAUGCCUAACACAUGCACGUCGAACGAGACCUUCGGGUCUAGUGGCGCACGGGUGCGUAACGCGUGGGAACCUGCCCUUAGGUUCGGAAUAACUCCCCGAAAGGGGUGCUAAUACCGGAUAAUGUCUUCGGACCAAAGAUUUAUCGCCUUUGGAUGGGCCCGCGUUGGAUCAGCUAGUUGGUAGGGUAAAAGCCUACCAAGGCGACGAUCCAUAGCUGGUCUGAGAGGAUGAUCAGCCACACUGGGACUGAGACACGGCCCAGACUCCUACGGGAGGCAGCAGUGGGGAAUAUUGGACAAUGGGCGAAAGCCUGAUCCAGCAAUGCCGCGUGAGUGAUGAAGGCCUUAGGGUUGUAAAGCUCUUUUACCCGGGAUGAUAAUGACAGUACCGGGAGAAUAAGCUCCGGCUAACUCCGUG
Molecule: ribosomal RNA, 432 nt
Filed under: uncultured bacterium
Lineage: Bacteria
Description: partial 16S ribosomal RNA
Rfam family: Bacterial small subunit ribosomal RNA
Source: RNAcentral